CCAGCCCAACAUGACUCAGUGCAGGGCAGGGCUGAGUAACUAAGUAACCUGGAAGGCAUGGUAGAGAUGGAGAUGGAGCCAACUGCAGCAGGAAGCAACAUCGACUUCCCCUCCCUCCCUGCUUAGCUUCCCUUCGCCAGAACUCUCCCACAAGGCCAGGCCAGAGAUCUCCAUGGAAAGCCUCAGCCUGGAAAUUCUUUUUGCAUCCCAUGUGCAGUCAUUCUGAGGCCUUCCCCUGGUAUAAAGGCUGGCAAUAUACUGGAAAGAAGAUUAUGUGAACUAAUGAAGACACAGGGAAAAUGGAAUAGGAGAAAAAAAGAAAGAAGCUAGAAAUCACACUGAUGCAAAGAGUGACAGUAGUAAGUUAUCCUCUAUGGUCCAUGACUUCAUCAGCCAUACAACACCAGUGAGACAAAUCACUGGAAAGAGACCUCAUCUUCUCUGGAAGAAUCUUUGGCACCCUAGGUUCAUGAGGUAUGUGAUUUGAUCUGCCAGGCAUUGCACAGUUAUGUACCACAUGUAUCAGAGUUCCCAAGCACACAUCUAUCUUAAAUGGAAGCC
This is a long non-coding RNA of Mus caroli (Ryukyu mouse), 561 nucleotides long. RefSeq lists it as uncharacterized. Lineage: Eukaryota; Metazoa; Chordata; Mammalia; Rodentia; Muridae. The record is from RefSeq and is a predicted model, not a curated record.